CCUACGGGAGGCAGCAGUGGGGAAUAUUGGGCAAUGGAGGCAACUCUGACCCAGCAACGCCGCGUGAAUGAUGAAGGUCUUCGGAUUGUAAAGUUCUUUUCUAAGGGAAGAAGAAAGUGACGGUACCUUAGGAAUAAGCCUCGGCUAACUACGUGCCAGCAGCCGCGGCAAUACGUAGGAGGCAAGCGUUAUCCGGAAUGACUGGGCGUAAAGGGUGCGUAGGUGGUUCAGCAAGUUAGUAGCGUAACUCCGGGGCUCAACCUCGGCACUACUACUAAAACUGUUGGACUUGAGUGCAGGGGAGGCAACUGGAAUUCCUAGUGUAGCGGUGGAAUGCGUAGAUAUUAGGAGGAACACCAGUGGCGAAGGCGAGUUGCUGGACUGUAACUGACACUGAGGCACGAAAGCGUGGGGAGCAAACAGGAUUAGAUACCCCAGUAGUC
RNAcentral lists this ribosomal RNA (443 nucleotides) under uncultured bacterium. Its description in RNAcentral is "partial 16S ribosomal RNA". It matches the Rfam family "Bacterial small subunit ribosomal RNA", at positions 338 to 795 of the family's 1533-position model. The record is from RNAcentral.